RNAcentral lists this ribosomal RNA (250 nucleotides) under uncultured prokaryote. RNAcentral describes it as "partial 16S ribosomal RNA". It matches the Rfam family "Bacterial small subunit ribosomal RNA", at positions 524 to 773 of the family's 1533-position model. The record is from RNAcentral.
UACAGAGGGUGCGAGCGUUAAUCGGAAUUACUGGGCGUAAAGCGCGCGUAGGCGGUUUUGCAAGUCGGGUGUGAAAUCCCCAGGCUUAACCUGGGAACUGCAUUCGAGACUGCAUUACUAGAGUAUGGGAGAGGGAAGUGGAAUUUCCGGUGUAGCGGUGAAAUGCGUAGAUAUCGGAAGGAACAUCAGUGGCGAAAGCGACUUCCUGGACCAAUACUGACGCUCAUGUGAGAAAGCGUGGGGAGCAAAC